UUUUUUUUUUUUUUUUUUGUCAUAUGACCACGUGUGGUAUCCUGAAUCACCAGACUAGUCCACACGUGUUCCACACCAACCUGCCCAGGCCGUGUGAGUUGUUUCACCGGAGAUUCGAUCCUUAGCAGUGAUACUCACCUAACUAGGCUACUACCACCAGACCAAAGCCCUUGGGGCAAACCGGGUUAACAUUUUAUCCAGAAGUUUCUGCCUGGCUAAACAAUUAGCAGUAGCUUGACGGAUUUGGGGCAGGGACGGUCAUCAGUAUGACCGUCCCUGCACGGUUAAGGGCCAAGAUUUGUCCUCAAAAUUUUGUGCGGCUGAGAUAACACCAUGUAACUCGAUUUCUGCGCCAAGUGUGGGGUCCAUCACUAUCUGUUGUGAAAAUACAUCCUGUGAAAAAAAAGUUACACGGUGUACAAAGAAAGUUACGCGCAGUUGAUAAUGACUAAAAUUGACAGGGGCAGGUGCAACCGUCCGUGCCCCGAGUCCUAGCUUGACAGGCACUUCUGGAUAUGCUCAAUUUCCCAAGGACAUUUCAGUAGCUCCAUUUCCUCUCAAUGCCAUGUUGCUAAUUCAUCACAAACUGCGAUCUGCUGAGGCUUAUUCCAGCUUCCAAUUGCUCUGUGGAUGCCCCAGGUCCCAAGACUCCUGAGACACAUGCUUGUCUUGAAUGCCGAACAUCUCUUCUUGGUGACCGUGAUGAAAUGGUUCUACUACCAAUUUAGUCUCCUGGUUAUUUGGGACAAGCACCACGAACAUGAAGUUUUGAGCGAACGAAAGAGGUUCUUCGGGAUGAAAAGUAAGAAAGGUAGAGAAAAAAGAUUGUCAAAUAUACUCAAGUAUCUCCAUUUCCAGAUGCUAAGAGGCAAAUUUUUUCUGCAGAUUUCCUUAAGCAACCAAAGAAUCAAUUGGCUGUACGGAUCAUAUGUGCAAGGUCUUACAAAUGUUACGUUUGAAAUAGAUUAUAAGUUGUAACGACCAACAUGGUACAAAAUGAUCAGCAAAAGCUACAAAAACUCGAGAUGAUUAAGAAAAGUAAGAAAUCUGACUAGAAACUGAUCCUAUGUAUCUUCAUCAUCUUGAAU
This 1088-nucleotide long non-coding RNA is filed under the name Coffea arabica (coffee). Its description in RNAcentral is "long non-coding RNA (CARA_LNC004988)". Lineage: Eukaryota; Viridiplantae; Streptophyta; Magnoliopsida; Gentianales; Rubiaceae. The record is from RNAcentral.